This 164-nucleotide ribosomal RNA is filed under the name uncultured bacterium. Its description in RNAcentral is "partial 16S rRNA". It matches the Rfam family "Bacterial small subunit ribosomal RNA", at positions 355 to 511 of the family's 1533-position model. The record is from RNAcentral.
UAGGGAAUCUUCGGCAAUGGACGAAAGUCUGACCGAGCAACGCCGCGUGAGUGAAGAAGGUUUUCGGAUCGUAAACCUCUGUUGUUAGAGAAGAACAAGGGUGAGAGUAACUGUUCACCCCUUGACGGUAUCUAACCAGAAAGCCACGGCUAACUACGUGCCGG